RNAcentral lists this ribosomal RNA (399 nucleotides) under Magallana belcheri. Its description in RNAcentral is "Crassostrea belcheri partial 16S ribosomal RNA". It matches the Rfam family "Bacterial large subunit ribosomal RNA", at positions 1944 to 2578 of the family's 2925-position model. The record is from RNAcentral. Lineage: Eukaryota; Metazoa; Mollusca; Bivalvia; Ostreida; Ostreidae.
GAGGGUGCUAAGUGUAGCGAAAUUCCUUGCCUUUUGAUUGUAGGCCUGCAUGAAUGGUUUAACGAGGGUUUAACUGUCUCUAAAUUUUUAGUUGAAAUUGUAUUGAAGGUGAAGAUACCUUCAUUAAAAAGUUAGACAAAAAGACCCCGUGCAACUUUGAAAAUUGACUAUAUUCAGAAGUAAAAGAUUUUUAGGUGGGGCGCCUAGAAAGUAAGUCUAACCUUUCUGAAUAGUAAAUUCUCUCUGGAUUUGACCCGAUCAUAUUCGAUCAUAGGAGAAGUUACGCCGGGGAUAACAGGCUAAUCCUUUAGUAGAGCUCGUAUUGGCUAAAGGGAUUGGCACCUCGAUGUUGAAUCAGGGACGAUAGCUUCAAGGCGUAGAGGCUUUGAAAGUAGGUCU